Molecule: non-coding RNA, 92 nt
Filed under: uncultured Romboutsia sp.
Lineage: Bacteria; Bacillati; Bacillota; Clostridia; Peptostreptococcales; Peptostreptococcaceae
Description: Purine riboswitch
Rfam family: Purine riboswitch aptamer
About the family: Riboswitches are metabolite binding domains within certain messenger RNAs that serve as precision sensors for their corresponding targets. Allosteric rearrangement of mRNA structure is mediated by ligand binding, and this results in modulation of gene expression. A class of riboswitches that selectively recognises guanine and becomes saturated at concentrations as low as 5 nM.
Source: RNAcentral
AAUAAUUAAUAUAAUUACCUGUAUAUUUUUGAUAAUAUGGAUCAAACGUUUCUACCAAGCUGCCGUAAAUUGCUUGACUACAGGAGUUUAUA